AGACUCCCCCUCCCCACCCAGAGUCCGCCCGGCCCCGCACGACCAACUGUUGCCUGAGUGUGGGGCGCGGACAGCGGCGGAGGCGGGAACCCACGGCCUGUAGCCCCCUGAAAAUCUAUUUUCCCACACGCCCCCAACAGUGAGCCUGAGCUCCCCUCGUAGAUGUGAGCAAAAGGAAUCCUCUUUCCCUUAAAUCUGCUCUUUGUACCUCGGGGCGCUCUCCCCUUCUUGCACAAAGAACUUUUCCUCGCGUAUAACUGUACUGUAGAAGGUAUUUCUCACCAUUUGCAAAGCCCAGAACCCUUCUGAGGACUGCCCUUUUUCCAGGUCUCUAAAGGAAUAGAUUAAUGGUGCUGUUCCCACCUUCCUAAAUUCUGCACAAUGAUGGCCAAUGUGCAGAAACCCUUCUUUUGCUUUCACCACUGAAUUUUCAAACUCAGGGCGGGAGGGACAAGGUCAAGAUCCUCCACAAAACUCGGGACAACACAUGACAUCUGGGAUGCUCUGGUUUGAUGCGGAUAGUCUUCAUCCAUCCAUGGGUCUGCUCUUGGCUCCAAUUUGAAGAUCACUUCAGGUUUGGUAAUUUGGUAACCAAAUGAUUCCAGGCUGCUGGAGGUCGCUAGCAUCAUGUCCCUGUGGAAAGUAUUCCUUCCACUCUUCCUAGGUGAAUUCACAGCCACAUCCUCAAACACCAACCCCAUACAUGUGUUCAUUCUCUUUGCCCUUGGAAACACAGAGGAAUCUGGAAUUUUAGCUUCAGGAACACAGACUCUAAACCUAGAGCCUAGUAGCAGCAAAGCGAGUGCCAAAGGAUCUGUCAUUUCCACACUUACAUAAUAUUUUUCAGAACUCCUUUGCAGUUAACCCAUUGGAACAAGAUUCCAAAGACUAUGAUGACUUGCCAAAAAAAUGGAUACUUGUAUAUCAGUAUCACCUGGAGGUCUUGUUAAAACACAGAUGGCUGGCCCCACUCCCAGAGUAUCUGAAUUGGUAAGUUUGGAGUGGGACCAAGAAUUUGCCUUUCUAACAAGUUCUGAGGUUAUGUUGAUGCUGCUGGUCCAGGGACCACAGUUUAAGAACCAGUAACCUAGAAGAGGGACCAGCAGGUUUUUCUAUAAAGGGCCAGAGAGUGAAUAUUUGAGGCUGUUUACAGAGUAUAAUGACUUUGUCUCAGUGACAAGGCUCUGCUGUUGUAGCAUGAAGGGUGUCAUAGACCAUAGGUAAACACAUGAGCAUGCCUGUGUUCCAAUAAAACUGAAUCUUACCUAGCAUGUAUGAGUUUCUGGGUUUGAUCCCCAGCACUUAAAAAGCAAAAAAAAAAAAAAAAAAACGCAA
Non-coding RNA from Ictidomys tridecemlineatus (thirteen-lined ground squirrel), 1335 nucleotides. NCBI's taxonomy places the organism in Eukaryota, Metazoa, Chordata, Mammalia, Rodentia, Sciuridae. The record is from RefSeq and is a predicted model, not a curated record.